Molecule: non-coding RNA, 75 nt
Organism: Brachypodium distachyon (stiff brome)
Lineage: Eukaryota; Viridiplantae; Streptophyta; Magnoliopsida; Poales; Poaceae
Source: Rfam
UAACUGAUGAUGAACUAACUCGGAUUCCCCUUCAGGACAUCAUAAUGUAUGAUGCAAAAUCGAGUCUCUGAUGCU